UGGAUCCAGACUUUGAUCCUGGCUCAGGAUGAACGCUGGCGGCGAGCCUAAUACAUGCAAGUCGAACGAAACUUCUUUAUCACCGAGUGCUUGCACUCACCGAUGAAGAGUUGAGUGGCGAACGGGUGAGUAACACGUGGGCAACCUGCCCGAAAGAGGGGGAUAACACUUGGAAACAGGUGCUAAUACCGCAUAACCAGGAACACCGCAUGGUGUUUAUGUGAAAGGUGGUUUCGGCUACCGCUUUCGGAUGGGCCCGCGGCGCAUUAGCUAGUUGGUGGGGUAAAGGCUUACCAAGGCAAUGAUGCGUAGCCGAACUGAGAGGUUGAUCGGCCACAUUGGGACUGAGACACGGCCCAAACUCCUACGGGAGGCAGCAGUAGGGAAUCUUCCACAAUGGGCGAAAGCCUGAUGGAGCAACGCCGCGUGGGUGAAGAAGGUCUUCGGAUCGUAAAACCCUGUUGUCAGAGAAGAAAGUGCAUGAGAGUAACUGUUCAUGUUUCGACGGUAUCUGACCAGAAAGCCACGGCUAACUACGUGCCAGCAGCCGCGGUAAUACGUAGGUGGCAAGCGUUAUCCGGAUUUAUUGGGCGUAAAGGGAACGCAGGCGGUCUUUUAAGUCUGAUGUGAAAGCCUUCGGCUUAACCGGAGUAGUGCAUUGGAAACUGGGAGACUUGAGUGCAGAAGAGGAGAGUGGAACUCCAUGUGUAGCGGUGAAAUGCGUAGAUAUAUGGAAGAACACCAGUGGCGAAAGCGGCUCUCUGGUCUGUAACUGACGCUGAGGUUCGAAAGCGUGGGUAGCAAACAGGAUUAGAUACCCUGGUAGUCCACGCCGUAAACGAUGAAUGCUAAGUGUUGGAGGGUUUCCGCCCUUCAGUGCUGCAGUUAACACAAUAAGCAUUCCGCCUGGGGAGUACGACCGCAAGGUUGCAACUCAAAUGAAUUGACGGA
Molecule: ribosomal RNA, 951 nt
Filed under: uncultured Bacillota bacterium
Lineage: Bacteria; Bacillati; Bacillota
Description: bacterial SSU rRNA
Rfam family: Bacterial small subunit ribosomal RNA
Source: RNAcentral